ACCCUCCAGAUUCCUGUCCCUCAGACCUGAGUAUUGGUCUGAGUGGUGAUUGCUGGAGGAAAAGUAAAAGUGAAGUGGACUUGGAGUCUUGAAUGACUUACAAGCUCCUUUCAAACAUCA
RNAcentral lists this small nucleolar RNA (120 nucleotides) under Echinops telfairi (small Madagascar hedgehog). RNAcentral describes it as "Small nucleolar RNA SNORA61 (ENSETEG00000026338.1)". Lineage: Eukaryota; Metazoa; Chordata; Mammalia; Afrosoricida; Tenrecidae. The record is from RNAcentral.